Molecule: ribosomal RNA, 486 nt
Filed under: uncultured bacterium
Lineage: Bacteria
Description: partial 16S ribosomal RNA
Rfam family: Bacterial small subunit ribosomal RNA
Source: RNAcentral
GACGAACGCUGGCGGCGUGCUUAACACAUGCAAGUCGAACGCUGAAGGCCUGGCUUUUGUUGGGUUGGAUGAGUGGCGAACGGGUGAGUAACACGUGAGUAACCUGCCCUCUUCUUUGGGAUAACGCCCGGAAACGGGUACUAAUACUGGAUAUUCACUGAUCUUCGCAUGGGGGUUGGUGGAAAGGUUUGUUCUGGUGGGGGAUGGGCUCGCGGCCUAUCAGCUUGUUGGUGGGGUGAUGGCCUACCAAGGCUUUGACGGGUAGCCGGCCUGAGAGGGUGACCGGUCACAUUGGGACUGAGAUACGGCCCAGACUCCUACGGGAGGCAGCAGUGGGGAAUAUUGCACAAUGGGCGAAAGCCUGAUGCAGCGACGCCGCGUGAGGGAUGGAGGCCUUCGGGUUGUAAACCUCUUUCGCUCAUGGUCAAGCCGCAACUGUGGGUUGUGGUGAGGGUAGUGGGUAAAGAAGCGCCGGCUAACUACGUG